Molecule: ribosomal RNA, 197 nt
Filed under: uncultured bacterium
Lineage: Bacteria
Description: partial 16S ribosomal RNA
Rfam family: Bacterial small subunit ribosomal RNA
Source: RNAcentral
ACGCUCGACACCUACGGGAGGCAGCAGUGGGGAAUAUUGCACAAUGGGGGAAACCCUGAUGCAGCGACGCCGCGUGAGUGAAGAAGUAUUUCGGUAUGUAAAGCUCUAUCAGCAGGGAAGAAAAUGACGGUACCUGACUAAGAAGCCCCGGCUAACUACGUGCCAUCAGCCGCGGUAAUCUGAGCGGCUGGCAAGGC